GACGAACGCUGGCGGCGUGCCUAAUACAUGCGAGUAGAACGCACAGUUUAUACCGUAGCUUGCUACACCAUAGACUGUGAGUUGCGAACGGGUGAGUAACGCGUAGGUAACCUGCCUGGUAGCGGGGGAUAACUAUUGGAAACGAUAGCUAAUACCGCAUAAUAUUAAUUAUUGCAUGAUAAUUAAUUGAAAGGUGCAAUUGCACCACUACCAGAUGGACCUGCGUUGUAUUAGCUAGUAGGUGAGGUAACGGCUCACCUAGGCGACGAUACAUAGCCGACCUGAGAGGGUGAUCGGCCACACUGGGACUGAGACACGGCCCAGACUCCUACGGGAGGCAGCAGUAGGGAAUCUUCGGCAAUGGACGAAAGUCUGACCGAGCAACGCCGCGUGAGUGAAGAAGGUUUUCGGAUCGUAAAGCUCUGUUGUAAGAGAAGAACGGGGGUGAGAGUGGAAAGUUCACACUGUGACGGUAUCUUACCAGAAAGGGACGGCUAACUACGUG
RNAcentral lists this ribosomal RNA (505 nucleotides) under uncultured bacterium. RNAcentral's name for it is "partial 16S ribosomal RNA". It matches the Rfam family "Bacterial small subunit ribosomal RNA", at positions 28 to 507 of the family's 1533-position model. The record is from RNAcentral.